This 269-nucleotide long non-coding RNA is filed under the name Hordeum vulgare. RNAcentral describes it as "long non-coding RNA (HVUL_LNC021623)". Lineage: Eukaryota; Viridiplantae; Streptophyta; Magnoliopsida; Poales; Poaceae. The record is from RNAcentral.
GAGAAAACAUUAGGGAUACACCAAAAAUACUAUUUCCGCAAUCGCAAGUAUCUGUUCCCCCGUGAUCCCAUCUGGAACCCUGCUCCAGUGCCCUGCCUGAGGGGGGAUCAAUCAUAGAGGGCGUUGCAUCAACCUUGGUGCUUCCAUGAUGAUGUGUGAGUAGUCUACCACCGACCUACGGGUCCAUAGUUAGUGGCUAGCUCUCUCUCUCUCUCUCUCUCCAUCUCCCUCUCCCUCUCCCUCUCCCUCUCUCUCUCCCUCCCUCCCUC